RNAcentral lists this ribosomal RNA (527 nucleotides) under Trichia contorta. RNAcentral describes it as "SSU rRNA". It matches the Rfam family "Eukaryotic small subunit ribosomal RNA", at positions 50 to 553 of the family's 1831-position model. The record is from RNAcentral. Lineage: Eukaryota; Evosea; Eumycetozoa; Trichiida; Trichiidae.
CAUGCAUGUCUCCGAUAUAGUAGCUCGAUCCUCGAAUCUGCGAACGGCUCCGUAUAUCUGUUAUCACCCACCGCCACUCACUGGUAUCCGGAUAUCCUCGGUAAUUCUGAGGCUAAUACGUGCACACCCGGGGCGCCCGCCCGCGCCGCAAGGCGCGGGAGGGCGGCUAACCCCGGUCUUGUCAUGGAACCAACGGCGGGCGGCCCCGGCCGCCCGCCCGCGUGACCGCAGACAAGUCGACCUGACCGGGCUGAUUGCAGGGGCCCGGCGCAGGCGAUGGAUACCAGACCUAUCAACUAGACGCCCAGGCCUUUCCUGGGCGUGGUGAUAACGGGUACAGAGGAUCAGGGUUCGGUCCUGGAGAGGUAGCCUGAGAGAUCGCUACUACUUCUAAGGAAGGCAGCAGGCGCGCAACGUUCCCAAUGGGGGCACCCUGAGGACGUGAAGGGGCAUAUCAAUGCUCGGCCGCUAAGGCUGGGCAAUUGAAAUGGGGGACCUCUAAACCCCACACCGAGUAACAAUUGGAG